GGGUUGUGAGGUUAAGCGACUAAGCGUACACGGUGGAUGCCAUGGCAGUCAGAGGCGAUGAAGGACGUGCUAAUCUGCGAAAAGCGUCGGUAAGGUGAUAUGAACCGUUACAGCCGGCGAUGUCCGAAUGGGGAAACCCAGUG
This 143-nucleotide ribosomal RNA is filed under the name Klebsiella pneumoniae. RNAcentral describes it as "partial 23S ribosomal RNA". It matches the Rfam family "Bacterial large subunit ribosomal RNA", at positions 1 to 133 of the family's 2925-position model. The record is from RNAcentral. Lineage: Bacteria; Pseudomonadati; Pseudomonadota; Gammaproteobacteria; Enterobacterales; Enterobacteriaceae.